RNAcentral lists this unclassified non-coding RNA (378 nucleotides) under uncultured fungus. RNAcentral describes it as "partial contains 5.8S ribosomal RNA, internal transcribed spacer 2, and large subunit ribosomal RNA". The stretch from base 1 to 52 matches the Rfam family "5.8S ribosomal RNA", at positions 103 to 154 of the family's 154-position model. Lineage: Eukaryota; Fungi. The record is from RNAcentral.
AACGCACCUUGCGCUCCUUGGUAUUCCGAGGAGCAUGCCUGUUUGAGUGUCAGUAGAUUAAUCAACCCUUUGUUUUAUUUUUCCUUUAUUAUUAAAUAUAGGAAAGGAAGGUGGUUGGAUUUUGGGAGUUGAGUUAUAUUGCAGGCUGAUAUUGUAUAUUACUUUUUAGUAUGCAAUGGUUUGCUCUCCUAAAAUGUAUUUUGCAGAACUUUAAUGGUUAAUUUGGCUAUUAUCGUUUAUUUUAAAUAUGGUGUGAUAAGUAUCUACACUAUAUUGACUAAACGAGUCAUACAUAUAUAUGUUAAAGUUCAGCAAUGGCAUUAUAUGAUAUUUUGAGUAUUUGACCUCAAAUCAGGUAGGAUUACCCGCUGAACUUAA